AGCAACUGGAAAUGUAGAAGCCAAAGGUUCAGCUCUACAGACAACUGCAAGCAGCAUUAACGCUCAGGAUCCAAUGAAGCAAAACCAACACAGCAUGAUUCAAACGAAUGGAAUAUGUUGCCAAGAGAACUCACUUGCCGAACACUGGUUUGCCAACUCACUUCGGUCUCUCUUCCUCCCAGUACCUCCACUCUCAACCCUGCUUCUUUGGUGAGACAGAAGUAGAUGGUGAGAAGAACAUUCUAGUCUUUAAUCUCUCUCUUCUUCAACUUUCAGCUACAGCGAUGAACAGUGGAGCUAAGCGACAAACUCCCCCAUUACCCGUGGAAGAAGCUCUCAUGCUACACUUCCAGCUUUCCUUGCAAGAAAAGAAUAUGCAGAUGCUUACACAUUAGGACUCUGCAAUGUAAAAAGAUCAGUUUUCUCUAUACAAUAAACUGUUAAAGCAUUACGUA
Long non-coding RNA from Arvicola amphibius (Eurasian water vole), 455 nucleotides. RefSeq lists it as uncharacterized. The transcript has 2 exons. The record is from RefSeq and is a predicted model, not a curated record. Lineage: Eukaryota; Metazoa; Chordata; Mammalia; Rodentia; Cricetidae.